Molecule: transfer RNA, 74 nt
Organism: Endozoicomonas sp.
Lineage: Bacteria; Pseudomonadati; Pseudomonadota; Gammaproteobacteria; Oceanospirillales; Endozoicomonadaceae
Rfam family: tRNA
About the family: Transfer RNA (tRNA) molecules are approximately 80 nucleotides in length. Their secondary structure includes four short double-helical elements and three loops (D, anti-codon, and T loops).
Source: Rfam
UGCGGGAUGGAGCAGCCUGGUAGCUCGUCGGGCUCAUAACCCGAAGGUCGUCGGUUCAAAUCCGGCUCCCGCUA